Molecule: non-coding RNA, 184 nt
Filed under: Romeriopsis navalis LEGE 11480
Lineage: Bacteria; Bacillati; Cyanobacteriota; Cyanophyceae; Leptolyngbyales; Leptolyngbyaceae
Description: 6S / SsrS RNA
Rfam family: 6S / SsrS RNA
About the family: E. coli 6S RNA was the first non coding RNA to be sequenced, but its function was unknown until recently. It consists of 184 nucleotides that fold into an extended hairpin structure with a large single-stranded internal bulge.
Source: Rfam by way of RNAcentral
GCUUUUCUGGAACGUUGGUGACUGCCAAUAAUGUUUUUUGAUCUAUGUUUUUUCUUUAUAAGGGAGCCAAGCGGUCUCGUGGCAGUAAACUGAGCUUGCACUCAGAAACUUUAAGCGAUUCACAGCGCACCCACCUGGUCUAACCAGGUCUAAAGCUGAGGUAAGACGGCGUUCUGGGGCCUAC